UAUAAGGGACGUGGUCUUAGACAUUAGAUAGAUAUAUAGUAGAACAUUGGCCUAUUUCAAAAAAAGUGACGAGGGGUAAUGUCUCAAAAUAUAGUUAGAGGCCAGAACUUAAUUAAUAUUUGCGGCGACGGAGACCCGACCCCUUCUCCCUCUUCCGGUCGUCUGCUGAUAGGAGCAUAAUUAUGGUUAUCUUAUUCCGGUUUUCCGAAGUAAGGAAAGAAAUAAGAGCAAAAGGAAGGAGAUAUGUGCAAUUGAUGGAGAAUUGUGGACUCUUGAUGAAUCAAGGAAGCUUAAGGCAAUAUGAAGGAAAAGAUAUUCAACAAUUAAUUCUCUUGGCUGCUCCUAUUGGAUAGAAGGAUGUCAAUGAAUCCUAAAUCAAUCAGAACAUUAAUCAAGGAGUUAGAGUCCCAAAAGAAAAGAAGGAAAGAGUUACAAACUGAACAAAAUCUCUCCUUGAACGUUGAAGAAAGGGACGAUCUCACAUACGAAGAGGCAGAGACGCACGAGAGCUUGAGAAGAAGAAGAACGACAACCGUGCUAUAAACGAUCGAUCACUGCACACCAGGGAUCGAUCGCCGAUCCGUAUUUUCCAAUUUUCUGAUUUUUGUUGUCUUCUUUCUCCAUGAACUCCUUUGUGUUUUUUAUUUCCUUUAUGUGUAACUAAAUUUCCAGUAGUUAGGGGGCAGUUGAAGCCCCUAGACAUGAUCCAUAACAUGCUUUGACAUUCAAUUUGUUUUCCAAUUAAUAAAGUUGAGGUUUUGUUUACCGAUU
Molecule: long non-coding RNA, 771 nt
Organism: Rosa rugosa (rugosa rose)
Lineage: Eukaryota; Viridiplantae; Streptophyta; Magnoliopsida; Rosales; Rosaceae
Exons: 2
Source: RefSeq, a predicted model, not a curated record